Molecule: ribosomal RNA, 497 nt
Filed under: uncultured bacterium
Lineage: Bacteria
Description: partial 16S ribosomal RNA
Rfam family: Bacterial small subunit ribosomal RNA
Source: RNAcentral
GAUGAACGCUGGCGGCGUGCCUAAUACAUGCAAGUCGAGCGAACAGAUAAGGAGCUUGCUCCUUUGACGUUAGCGGCGGACGGGUGAGUAACACGUGGAUAACCUACCUAUAAGACUGGGAUAACUUCGGGAAACCGGAGCUAAUACCGGAUAACAUAUUGAACCGCAUGGUUCAAUAGUGAAAGGCGGCUUUGCUGUCACUUAUGGAUGGAUCCGCGCCGUAUUAGCUAGUUGGUAAGGUAACGGCUUACCAAGGCAACGAUACGUAGCCGACCUGAGAGGGUGAUCGGCCACACUGGAACUGAGACACGGUCCAGACUCCUACGGGAGGCAGCAGUAGGGAAUCUUCCGCAAUGGGCGAAAGCCUGACGGAGCAACGCCGCGUGAGUGAUGAAGGUCUUCGGAUCGUAAAACUCUGUUAUCAGGGAAGAACAAAUGUGUAAGUAACUGUGCACAUCUUGACGGUACCUGAUCAGAAAGCCACGGCUAACUACGUG